UUAAAAUUGAAUGGCGAAUGUCGGUAUGGUCUCUUUUUCAAAAGAGGUUUCGAUCAAGCGAAGUGACUAGACCGAACACUCGUGCUAUAAUUUUAAAA
RNAcentral lists this microRNA precursor (98 nucleotides) under Drosophila yakuba. RNAcentral describes it as "microRNA dya-mir-286 precursor". Its record names the gene dya-mir-286. It matches the Rfam family "mir-286 microRNA precursor family". Lineage: Eukaryota; Metazoa; Arthropoda; Insecta; Diptera; Drosophilidae. The record is from miRBase by way of RNAcentral.